CCCGGGGCUGAGCCCAGCCCUGCCUCCGGUAACCGCGCCGUGACAAUGAAGGGCAGCGGGGGAUGAGCGCGUGAAGCAGAAGAAACAACCCUGCAGCAGCUCACAGCCAUUUAACCCUUCCUGGCUGCAGCGCUUCAGUGAAAACUUCAGCUGUCCAUGGCAGAGCUUUAGGGAAUUUGUUCCUUUUCCAAACUCCAGGCUCUAAGGCUGCUGAAGGUGGUUAAAAUACACUUUGCAUCUUGGUU
Pezoporus occidentalis (night parrot) is the source of this 245-nucleotide long non-coding RNA. RefSeq lists it as uncharacterized. The transcript has 2 exons. The record is from RefSeq and is a predicted model, not a curated record. NCBI's taxonomy places the organism in Eukaryota, Metazoa, Chordata, Aves, Psittaciformes, Psittacidae.